Molecule: ribosomal RNA, 393 nt
Filed under: Triticum aestivum (bread wheat)
Lineage: Eukaryota; Viridiplantae; Streptophyta; Magnoliopsida; Poales; Poaceae
Description: partial small subunit ribosomal RNA
Source: RNAcentral
AUGACAUGUGCCUUCACUAGUGGCAAGGUCAUUUUGGAAGCUGCGAUUCUUACCACGGUGGUUGUCUUCAGCCUCAUUGCUUACACCUUCUGGGCUGCAAGGAGGGGCAAGGACUUCAGCUUCCUUGGCCCUUUCCUAUUUGCUUCUCUCAUCAUGCUGCUCGUCUUUGGGUUCAUUCAGCCUCAUCUUUCUACACUCUUCCCGCCGGGCAAGCUGUCUCACAUGAUCUAUGGCGCGCUGGCGUCACUCGUCUUCAGUGGCUACAUUGUCUAUGACACGGACAACAUCAUCAAGCGUUACACGUAUGACGAGUAUGUCUGGGCUGCCGUAUCGCUCUACCUUGACAUCAUCAAUCUGUUCAUGGCACUGAUGAACCUGUUUAGCGCGGGUGAC